RNAcentral lists this unclassified non-coding RNA (222 nucleotides) under uncultured Ceratobasidiaceae. RNAcentral describes it as "sequence contains ITS2". Lineage: Eukaryota; Fungi; Basidiomycota; Agaricomycetes; Cantharellales; Ceratobasidiaceae. The record is from RNAcentral.
AAUUCUCAAAAUAUAUCUUUUGCACACGCGAUGGAUUUUAUUUUGGACUUGGAGGUCUUGCAGAUUCACGUCUGCUCCUCUUAAAUUUAUUAGCUGGAUCACUGUGAACUCGGUUCCACUCGGCGUGAUAAGUAUCACUCGCUGAGGACACUGUAAAAGGUGGCCGGGAUUGCUGUAGAACCGCUUCUAACAGUCUAUUGAAUUAGACAAAUUAUAUUUAUG